AAAACGGCUCUUUUUGGAGCCACCCACAUGAAAUAAAGUGUAUGAU
This is a non-coding RNA of Nematostella vectensis (starlet sea anemone), 46 nucleotides long. NCBI's taxonomy places the organism in Eukaryota, Metazoa, Cnidaria, Anthozoa, Actiniaria, Edwardsiidae. The record is from Rfam.